Molecule: ribosomal RNA, 501 nt
Filed under: uncultured bacterium
Lineage: Bacteria
Description: bacterial SSU rRNA
Rfam family: Bacterial small subunit ribosomal RNA
Source: RNAcentral
AGAGUUUGAUCCUGGCUCAGGAUUAACGCUGGCGGUGUGCCUUAUACAUGCAAGUCGAGCGUGCCCGCAAGGGUAUCGCGGCAAACGGGUGAGUAACAAAUAGGGAAUCUGCCCUCAAGUUCGGGAUAACCAGUCGAAAGAUUGAACAAUACCGGAUAAUGUUGCGAAGGACAACCUUCGUAAAGAAAGGCGGCGCAAGCUGUCGCUUUUGGAUGAACCUAUUCACUAUCAGCUAGUUGGUGAGGUAACGGCUGCACCAAGGCUAUGACGGUUAGCUGGUCUGAGAGGACGGUCAGCCACAUUGGGACUGAGACACGGCCCAGACUCCUACGGGAGGCAGCAGUCGGGAAUUUUGUCAAUGGGCGAAAGCCUGAACGAGCGACACCGCGUGAACGACGAAGAUCUUAGGAUUGUAAAGUUCUUUGCUUGAGAAGAACACGGUUGCGACAACAUCAAUACCGUCUGACGGUACCAAGCGAAUAAGCUCCAGCCAACUACGUG